GGUACUAUGGCUUAGUUGGUUAAAGUUCCUGUCUAGUAAACAGGAAGUCCUUGGUUCAAAUCCCAGUGGUACCU
Molecule: non-coding RNA, 74 nt
Organism: Alligator sinensis (Chinese alligator)
Lineage: Eukaryota; Metazoa; Chordata; Crocodylia; Alligatoridae
Source: Rfam